CCGUGCUAGAUGGGGAACUGGCGGUGCCUUGUACCCGCAAUCCGCCAUAGCGGGGUUGAAUUCCUCCCUAAGGUCUAGCCUUUCGGCCUCUGCCCUCUCUGAGUGGUGUUGAGGGCUGGGACCCGCGCGACGGACGACUGUGAACCCCGCCAGGCCCGGAAGGGAGCAACGGUAAGCGGAAACGCCAGGCGCCGCGGGACUACCUGGCCUGAGCUAUUUUGAAGGGUACACCGAGGAGUUACGAUCGACGGGAGGUGCACGG
RNAcentral lists this signal recognition particle RNA (262 nucleotides) under SAR202 cluster bacterium. RNAcentral's name for it is "signal recognition particle sRNA large type". It matches the Rfam family "Bacterial large signal recognition particle RNA". From Rfam's summary of the family: The signal recognition particle (SRP) is a universally conserved ribonucleoprotein involved in the co-translational targeting of proteins to membranes. Archaeal SRP consists of a 7S RNA and homologues of the eukaryotic SRP19 and SRP54 proteins. The record is from RNAcentral. Lineage: Bacteria; Bacillati; Chloroflexota; Dehalococcoidia. RNAcentral also lists the same sequence under 1 other name.